ACACCCAGCUCCCCUGGCUCUAGCAGCACAGAAAUAUUGGCACUGGGGAAACAAGUCUGCCAAUAUUGGCUGUGCUGCUCCAGGCAGGGUGGUGA
MicroRNA precursor from Dipodomys ordii (Ord's kangaroo rat), 95 nucleotides. Lineage: Eukaryota; Metazoa; Chordata; Mammalia; Rodentia; Heteromyidae. The record is from Ensembl.